This 447-nucleotide ribosomal RNA is filed under the name Limosilactobacillus fermentum. Its description in RNAcentral is "bacterial SSU rRNA". It matches the Rfam family "Bacterial small subunit ribosomal RNA", at positions 348 to 787 of the family's 1533-position model. Lineage: Bacteria; Bacillati; Bacillota; Bacilli; Lactobacillales; Lactobacillaceae. The record is from RNAcentral.
GCAGCAGUAGGGAAUCUUCCACAAUGGACGCAAGUCUGAUGGAGCAACGCCGCGUGAGUGAAGAAGGUUUUCGGAUCGUAAAGCUCUGUUGUUGGUGAAGAAGGAUAGAGGUAGUAACUGGCCUUUAUUUGACGGUAAUCAACCAGAAAGUCACGGCUAACUACGUGCCAGCAGCCGCGGUAAUACGUAGGUGGCAAGCGUUGUCCGGAUUUACUGGGCGUAAAGCGAGCGCAGGCGGAAGAAUAAGUCUGAUGUGAAAGCCCUCGGCUUAACCGAGGAACUGCAUCGGAAACUGUUUUUCUUGAGUGCAGAAGAGGAGAGUGGAACUCCAUGUGUAGCGGUGGAAUGCGUAGAUAUAUGGAAGAACACCAGUGGCGAAGGCGGCUCUCUGGUCUGCAACUGACGCUGAGGCUCGAAAGCAUGGGUAGCGAACAGGAUUAGAUACCC